This 19-nucleotide small nuclear RNA is filed under the name Arabidopsis thaliana (thale cress). RNAcentral describes it as "snRNA_13011". The record is from RNAcentral. Lineage: Eukaryota; Viridiplantae; Streptophyta; Magnoliopsida; Brassicales; Brassicaceae.
CAGGAAGGUGUUGCGCCGA